Molecule: non-coding RNA, 743 nt
Organism: Pimephales promelas (fathead minnow)
Lineage: Eukaryota; Metazoa; Chordata; Actinopteri; Cypriniformes; Leuciscidae
Source: RefSeq, a predicted model, not a curated record
GUUAUCAGAAGGAAGGAGCAGUUGCUAUGUCAAGGCCAAAGCCAACAGCGAGCUUGAUAACUCCGUGAGGAUGAGAGGAGUCAUCACUUUUCCUGUUUUAAUUAGUCACAUCAGCUCCUCAAAUGGCAACAUGUCAUCUGCUUCCUUCCAGGCGUUGAUUAUAAACUGAGGAUUGCGUCAUACAGACCACACUGACAUCACAGAGAAGACAGAUGUGAUGACUGUUUCAGAAGAUCAGAGAGUGAGAAGCCCAAAACGCUGCUCCACAAGCUCCAAAGCUCAACGGGGAUCUCCUCAUAUGUCUACAUGAAAAACCAAACUGGCUGCUCUUGUCUGAGACCACAUCCCUCAACUACAGCGCUCUGCUGCAUCGACAGUGCAUAUUAAAAAAAAUGAACAGCUGCUCCUCUUGAUGUAUGAAUGUAUGCACCAGUUGCCGGCCCACAAAGUUAGAUCCCCAUGUCAAAACCUCAGGAAGAUGCCGGUCCCACAGGAACCGGACUGACCACCGCCAUCUGCACUUGACGAGCAGGCCAGCUUCUUUUCUUAUCGUCAGGAAGUUGUGAGGACACCACCAUAAAAGGCCUCUUAGACUAAUACAGUUAUCUGUUGAUGCAGAUGAAAAACUUCCUCUGAAUGAACAUACACAAUAUCUUGGCACACCAGUCAGGAUCCAGCACAGAGGAACCUAUCUUUAAAAUCACAGGCAUGUAAGUAUGCAUCCUCCUGAAUUCCAGUGCCUU